AGAGUUUGAUCAUGGCUCAGGACGAACGCUGGCGGCGUGCCUAAUACAUGCAAGUCGAGCGGAAUGAAGAAGAAGCUUGCUUCUUCUGAUUUUAGCGGCGGACGGGUGAGUAACACGUGGGCAACCUACCUUGUAGAUUGGGAUAACUCCGGGAAACCGGGGCUAAUACCGAAUAAUCCAUUUUGCUUCAUGGCGAAAUGUUAAAAGGCGGCUUCGGCUGUCACUGCAAGAUGGGCCCGCGGCGCAUUAGCUAGUUGGUAAGGUAACGGCUUACCAAGGCGACGAUGCGUAGCCGACCUGAGAGGGUGAUCGGCCACACUGGGACUGAGACACGGCCCAGACUCCUACGGGAGGCAGCAGUAGGGAAUCUUCCACAAUGGACGAAAGUCUGAUGGAGCAACGCCGCGUGAGUGAAGAAGGUUUUCGGAUCGUAAAACUCUGUUGUAAGGGAAGAACACGUACGAGAGUAACUGCUCGUAUCUUGACGGUACCUUAUUAGAAAGCCACGGCUAACUACGUGCCAGCAGCCGCGGUAAUACGUAGGUGGCAAGCGUUGUCCGGAAUUAUUGGGCGUAAAGCGCGCGCAGGCGGUCCUUUAAGUCUGAUGUGAAAGCCCACGGCUCAACCGUGGAGGGUCAUUGGAAACUGGGGGACUUGAGUACAGAAGAGGAAAGCGGAAUUCCAAGUGUAGCGGUGAAAUGC
RNAcentral lists this ribosomal RNA (702 nucleotides) under uncultured bacterium. RNAcentral describes it as "bacterial SSU rRNA". It matches the Rfam family "Bacterial small subunit ribosomal RNA", at positions 8 to 689 of the family's 1533-position model. The record is from RNAcentral.